CCCCAUGGAGCUUUAAACCCAACGACACCCGCCCCCCUCCAAAUCCUACUAUUUACCCGGUGAUUGUUUGUUUGGUUUUAGGUUGGGGUGACCGCGGAGUAUAAGAUAUCCUCCAUGAAAAAAAGCUAACUGCCCUUAUUAGAGAAAGACACUUCCAAAAAAUAAUAAAUUAAUUUUAAAUGAUCCGACAUUCGAUCAACGAACCAAGUUACCCUGGGGAUAACAGCGCAAUCCGUCCCGAGAGCCCCUAUCGACAGGCGGGUUUACGACCUCGAUGUUGGAUCAGGGUAUCCUAGUGGUGCAGCAGCUACUAAAGGUUCGUUUGUUCAACGAUUAAAACCCU
RNAcentral lists this ribosomal RNA (343 nucleotides) under Boophis madagascariensis (Madagascar bright-eyed frog). Its description in RNAcentral is "partial 16S ribosomal RNA". It matches the Rfam family "Bacterial large subunit ribosomal RNA", at positions 2089 to 2597 of the family's 2925-position model. The record is from RNAcentral. Lineage: Eukaryota; Metazoa; Chordata; Amphibia; Anura; Mantellidae.